UGACCUCGGAUCAGGUAGGACUACCCGCUGAACUUAAGCAUAUCAAUA
RNAcentral lists this ribosomal RNA (48 nucleotides) under Ceratocystiopsis collifera. RNAcentral describes it as "partial 28S large subunit ribosomal RNA". The record is from RNAcentral. RNAcentral also lists the same sequence under 7 other names. Lineage: Eukaryota; Fungi; Ascomycota; Sordariomycetes; Ophiostomatales; Ophiostomataceae.